GUGGUUGAUGCCAUGCUUCCAAGAAAAGCUUCUAAGCUUCAGGUAACCAGGAACCGUACCCCAAACCGACACAGGUGGUCGGGUAGAGAAUACCAAGGCGCUUGAGAGAACUCGGGUGAAGGAACUAGGCAAAAUGGCACCGUAACUUCGGGAGAAGGUGCGCCGGCUAGGGUGAAGGAUUUACUCCGUAAGCUCUGGCUGGUCGAAGAUACCAGGCCGCUGCGACUGUUUAUUAAAAACACAGCACUCUGCAAACACGAAAGUGGACGUAUAGGGUGUGACGCCUGCCCGGUGCCGGAAGGUUAAUUGAUGGGGUUAGCGCAAGCGAAGCUCUUGAUCGAAGCCCCGGUAAACGGCGGCCGUAACAAUAACGGUCCUAAGGUAGCGAAAUUCCUUGUCGGGUAAGUUCCGACCUGCACGAAUGGCGUAACGAUGGCGGCGCUGUCUCCACCCGAGACUCAGUGAAAUUGAAAUCGCUGUGAAGAUGCAGUGUAUCCGCGGCUAGACGGAAAGACCCCGUGAACCUUUACUGUAGCUUUGCACUGGACUUUGAGCCUGCUUGUGUAGGAUAGGUGGGAGGCUUUGAAGCGUGGACGCCAGUUCGCGUGGAGCCAUCCUUGAAAUACCACCCUGGCAUGCUUGAGGUUCUAACUCUGGUCCGUAAUCCGGAUCGAGGACAGUGUAUGGUGGGCAGUUUGACUGGGGCGGUCUCCUCCUAAAGAGUAACGGAGGAGUACGAAGGUGCGCUCAGACCGGUCGGAAAUCGGUCGCAGAGUAUAAAGGCAAAAGCGCGCUUGACUGCGAGACAGACACGUCGAGCAGGUACGAAAGUAGGUCUUAGUGAUCCGGUGGUUCUGUAUGGAAGGGCCAUCGCUCAACGGAUAAAAGGUACUCCGGGGAUAACAGGCUGAUACCGCCCAAGAGUUCAUAUCGACGGCGGUGUUUGGCACCUCGAUGUCGGCUCAUCACAUCCUGGGGCUGAAGCCGGUCCCAAGGGUACGGCUGUUCGCCAUUUAAAGUGGUACGCGAGCUGGGUUUAGAACGUCGUGAGACAGUUCGGUCCCUAUCUGCCGUGGACGUUUGAGAUUUGAGAGGGGCUGCUCCUAGUACGAGAGGACCGGAGUGGACGAACCUCUGGUGUUCCGGUUGUCACGCCAGUGGCAUUGCCGGGUAGCUAUGUUCGGAAAAGAUAACCGCUGAAAGCAUCUAAGCGGGAAACUUGCCUCAAGAUGAGAUCUCACUGGGAACUUGAUUCCCCUGAAGGGCCGUCGAAGACUACGACGUUGAUAGGCUGGGUGUGUAAGCGUUGUGAGGCGUUGAGCUAACCAGUACUAAUUGCCCGUGAGGCUUGACC
RNAcentral lists this ribosomal RNA (1354 nucleotides) under metagenome. RNAcentral's name for it is "bacterial LSU rRNA". It matches the Rfam family "Bacterial large subunit ribosomal RNA", at positions 1590 to 2925 of the family's 2925-position model. The record is from RNAcentral.